CCUACGGGAGGCAGCAGUGAGGAAUAUUGCACAAUGGAGGAAACUCUGAUGCAGCAACGCCGCGUGGAGGAUGACGCAUUUCGGUGUGUAAACUCCUUUUAAGAGGGAAGAUAAUGACGGUACCUCUUGAAUAAGCACCGGCU
RNAcentral lists this ribosomal RNA (143 nucleotides) under uncultured bacterium. RNAcentral describes it as "partial 16S ribosomal RNA". It matches the Rfam family "Bacterial small subunit ribosomal RNA", at positions 338 to 498 of the family's 1533-position model. The record is from RNAcentral.